UUGCCAGACUCCUACGGGAGGCAGCAGUGGGGAAUCUUCCGCAAUGGGCGAAAGCCUGACGGAGCAACGCCGCGUGAUCGAAUGAAGGCCUUCGGGUUGUAAAGAUCUGUUGACAGGGACGAAUAAGCAAUGCGAAUAGUUUUGUGUAUGACGGUACCUGUUUAGAAAGCUCCGGCUAACUACGUGCCAGCAGCCGCGGUAAUACGUAGGGAGCAAGCGUUAUCCGGAUUUACUGGGUGUAAAGGGAGCGUAGACGGCAUGGCAAGUCAGAUGUGAAAGCCCGGGGCUCAACCCCGGGACUGCAUUUGAAACUGUCAGGCUGGAGUGCAGGAGAGGUAAGUGGAAUUCCUAGUGUAGCGGUGAAAUGCGUAGAUAUUAGGAGGAACACCAGUGGCGAAGGCGGCUUACUGGACUGUAACUGACGUUGAGGCUCGAAAGCGUGGGGAGCAAACAGGAUUAGAUACC
RNAcentral lists this ribosomal RNA (465 nucleotides) under uncultured bacterium. Its description in RNAcentral is "bacterial SSU rRNA". It matches the Rfam family "Bacterial small subunit ribosomal RNA", at positions 328 to 786 of the family's 1533-position model. The record is from RNAcentral.